GCUGUGGCUCAGUGGUAGAGUGUUUACCUAGCAUGUGUGAGACCUUGGUUCAAUCCUCAGCAUGGCA
Molecule: transfer RNA, 67 nt
Filed under: Marmota monax (woodchuck)
Lineage: Eukaryota; Metazoa; Chordata; Mammalia; Rodentia; Sciuridae
Description: tRNA.Ala
Source: RNAcentral